This 257-nucleotide long non-coding RNA is filed under the name Mytilus galloprovincialis (Mediterranean mussel). The record is from RNAcentral. Lineage: Eukaryota; Metazoa; Mollusca; Bivalvia; Mytilida; Mytilidae.
CAACAAUAAAAGAGGGACGAAAGAUACCAAAGGGACAGUCAAACUCAUAAAUCUAAAACAAACUGACAACGCCAUGGCCAAAAAUAAAAAAGACAAACAGAAAAACAAUAGUACACACGACACAACAUAGAAAACUAAAGAAUAAACAACACGAACCCCACCAAAAACUAGGGGUGAUCUCAGGUGCUCCGGAAGGGUAAGCAGAUCCUGCUCCACAUGUGGCACCCGUCGUGUUGCUUAAGUGAUUACAAAUCCGG